RNAcentral lists this small nucleolar RNA (103 nucleotides) under Jaculus jaculus (lesser Egyptian jerboa). Its description in RNAcentral is "Small nucleolar RNA SNORA28 (ENSJJAG00000009081.1)". Lineage: Eukaryota; Metazoa; Chordata; Mammalia; Rodentia; Dipodidae. The record is from RNAcentral.
AAACAACACUCUAGCAGGUGACACAAUUUGAGCUUGCAAGAAAGUCUAACCUAUUCAAGUGGUCUCUGCUUCAUGAGACAAGCUAUUUGUAGUCUCAGACUGC